GUCCUUUAGAAUUAUAUUUAAGGUUUAACCUGCCCACUGAAAUUAUUUAAAUGGCCGCAGUAUUUUGACUGUGCAAAGGUAGCAUAAUCAUUAGUUUUUUAAUUAAAAGCUUGUAUGAAAGGUUGGACGAAGUAGAAUCUGUCUCUAUAUAAAUUAAAAUAGAAUUUAACUUUUAAGUUAAAAGGCUUAAAUUUAAUUAAAAGACGAGAAGACCCUAUAGAGCUUUAUAAUUUAUUUAAUAGUAUUAAUUUAGAGAUAUUGAUAUUUUAUUAAAUAAAAUUAUUUUAUUGGGGUAAUAUAAAGAUUAAAAAAAUUCUUUUUUUAUUAACAUUAAUUUAUGAUUUUAAUGAUCCAGUUUUAUUGAUUAUAAGAGUAAGUUACCUUAGGGAUAACAGCGUAAUUUUUUUAAAGAGUUCAUAUUGAUAAAAAAGUUUGCGACCUCGAUGUUGGAUUAAAGAUUAUUUUAGGUGCAGAAGCUUAAAAUUUUUGGUCUGUUCGACCAUUAAAUCUUUAC
Molecule: ribosomal RNA, 514 nt
Filed under: Cychrus attenuatus attenuatus
Lineage: Eukaryota; Metazoa; Arthropoda; Insecta; Coleoptera; Carabidae
Description: partial 16S ribosomal RNA
Rfam family: Bacterial large subunit ribosomal RNA
Source: RNAcentral